This is a long non-coding RNA of Peromyscus californicus insignis, 966 nucleotides long. RefSeq lists it as uncharacterized. Lineage: Eukaryota; Metazoa; Chordata; Mammalia; Rodentia; Cricetidae. The record is from RefSeq and is a predicted model, not a curated record. The transcript is spliced from 3 exons.
CACUAAUAAAUCCACAUUCGGAUGAUGCAAUGAAGUUAUAUUUAACUGUAGAACUCUCCUCACAUGCCAGAUUUCAAAUCUGCUUCUAAGUAAAUGUCCUUUUGAGGACUCAUUAUGACUAUUCCCAUCUUCCUUCAAAACAAACCCAUUACUGAUGCUCAUUUCCUUUCUUCUCUUGGCUUCUGGCUGUCAGAUUUACACCUCUUCCAAGCCAUGCUGUCUUGGCCAACUGCAGCACUCUCACAGCCAAGAACAGGGCGCUCAAGCCCAAGCCCAGCAGACCCAGCCAGAGAGUACCAGCAACUGUUUUCUUAUGGGGUCCUUUCAAGAAAGCACACCAAAUGAUGAUACAGACUCGCUUCUCUCCCUCUGACAUCUGACAAACUCCAGUUUUCAGGCUUGACUGUGCUUCCACUGAGCCACCUCACUAGCCCCAAAAAGCACCCUUAAGUCUUCGGAAAAAGAGAUGCUUCCGUUUUUGUGGAUAUUACAUUCUUGGGAACUCUGACAUUUAAAAGCACAAAGUUCACUUCUUCUCAAUAGAAAGCAGGAAUGCUGACCAUGCCAUCCAAUUGACUGUGGUGAAAGAAGACCCACCAUGAAUGCUGACCAUGCCAUCCAACUGACUAUGGUGGAAGAAGACCCACCCUGAAUAUUUACUAUAUCAUCCAAUUGGCUGCAGUGGAAGAAGACCCACCACGAAUGUUGACGAUGCCAUCCAAUUGACUGCAGUUCCAGACUGAAUAAAAACUGGGAAAGGAUGAAGCCAGCUGAACAUUAGCAUUUAUCUCUUUUUGUACCCUAACUUUGAAUGCAAUCUGACCUGCUACUUCAUGCCCCUGCCUGGAAAAGUAGCCUAUAUGCCUUCCUAAUCUGUGAGCUAAAAUAAAUUGAUUGCUCCUCAAACUGCUUGUACCAGGUGCCUUGUGCCUUGUUGUAAUUGCAGCAAAUCAUGUAUUUGAAUUG